UACGUAGGGGGCAAGCGUUGUCCGGAUUUAUUGGGCGUAAAGAGCGUGUAGGCGGCUAGACAAGUCUGCUGUGAAAACUCGAGGCUCAACCUCGAGCUGUCGGCGGAAACUGUCUGGCUAGAGUCCGGAAGAGGAGAGUGGAAUUCCUGGUGUAGCGGUGAAAUGCGCAGAUAUCAGGAAGAACACCUAUGGCGAAGGCAGCUCUCUGGGACGGUACUGACGCUGAGACGCGAAAGCGUGGGGAGCGAACAGG
RNAcentral lists this ribosomal RNA (253 nucleotides) under uncultured bacterium. RNAcentral's name for it is "partial 16S ribosomal RNA". It matches the Rfam family "Bacterial small subunit ribosomal RNA", at positions 524 to 776 of the family's 1533-position model. RNAcentral also lists the same sequence under 1 other name. The record is from RNAcentral.